Molecule: long non-coding RNA, 678 nt
Filed under: Ananas comosus (pineapple)
Lineage: Eukaryota; Viridiplantae; Streptophyta; Magnoliopsida; Poales; Bromeliaceae
Description: long non-coding RNA (ACOM_LNC008640)
Source: RNAcentral
AAAUAUGAUAAGCCACUACACUACAGUAGUGAUCCGCGAGAUGCGAGGGGUAGAUAAUAUUUAAUAUUUAGCGUUAGUUUUUUGACUAUAAUUUUUUCGUCUUUCAGUUAGGUAGGUUUCACAAAAAAAAAGAAGUUACAGUUAGCCUUGCACGUGGAGCAUGAUUAUGGACAUUAAUAAAAUUUUAUCAUAUAAAUUAUACUUUGUAAUAUAUAAGAUGCAAAAUAUAAUGAAGCAUAACAACGUCGUCGAACGAAUCGUCGAUAGAUUUUUAUCCAUUAAAUAAAAAUUCAUUUAAUCAUUAAUCGUUGUUUUUCAAUACUCUAAAAAAAAUCCACAUAUUCUUAAAUAUUAACUAGUGGAGGCCCGCACUUCGCGACGGAAAAUCUACGUAAUUUUUAAAAUAUUUUAAACAAUAUUUUUCAUGUUUUAAUUUUUAGAUCUAAUUUAAAAUUUUAAACAUAAAAAAAUUAAAUAUAAAAAUUAUAUAUAGUAAAUAAAUAUAUAUUUAUAAAUAAAAUUAGAUAUAUAUAAAUUAGAUUUAAAAUUUAAAAUUUAAAAUUUAUAUAUAAAAUUUAAAAUUUAAAGUUGUUAAAUUCUCUCUCUCUCUCUUUCUCUUUCUCCUCUGAUUCCUCUCUCUCUUUCUCUCUCUCCCUCUCUCUCUCUCUCUCUCUCUCC